Daphnia pulex (common water flea) is the source of this 463-nucleotide long non-coding RNA. RefSeq lists it as uncharacterized. Lineage: Eukaryota; Metazoa; Arthropoda; Branchiopoda; Diplostraca; Daphniidae. The record is from RefSeq and is a predicted model, not a curated record. The transcript is spliced from 2 exons.
UAGCGCGAGUGUACAAGUACGAGUAUAAAUACUUUGGCUGUCAGUCAGUUCCGACUUCCGAUAUCUUCAAUCUGUUGCUCAUCCAGCAUCUCCUCCCUUUCUUCGCAUCCGUUUCUUGUCAACUUUCCUGUCAAAGACGACGUUGAUGAAUUUCACCGUUUGCUUCUUGGCUGCCGUUGCAGUGGUGGCUGGUAAUCCAGGAUACGGAUACAAACCAAUGGCUCCUGCAUACACACCACCGGCAUACACUCCUCCUGUUUAUACUCCACCUGCAUAUUCUCCACCAGCAUACAAAGCUCCUUCGUACAUGGCUCCAGCUUAUUAAGUUCCUGUUAAAAAUUGAAGUUUCCUAAAAUGCGUCACCGUCUUAAAUUAUGCUUCCUUUUCGCCGCUCCUUAAGAACAAAAUUUUAACUUAAAUUAAAUUCGAUUCAAAAUAAAUGAAUGAAUGAUUAAAAAAUGUG